GAUGAACGCUGGCGGCGUGCUUAACACAUGCAAGUCGAACGAUUAACCCGCCUUCGGGCGGUCAUAGAGUGGCGAACGGGUGAGUAACACGUGACCAACCUGCCCUGCACAUCGGGAUAACUGCCGGAAACGGCAGCUAAUACCGGAUACUAUCCGCACCCCGCAUGGGGAGCGGAUGAAAGCUCCGGCGGUGCAGGAUGGGGUCGCGGCCCAUCAGGUAGUAGGUGGGGCAGAGGCCCACCUAGCCGACGACGGGUAGCCGGACUGAGAGGUCGAUCGGCCACAUUGGGACUGAGAUACGGCCCAGACUCCUACGGGAGGCAGCAGUGGGGAAUAUUGCGCAAUGGGGGAAACCCUGACGCAGCAACGCCGCGUGCGGGAUGAAGGCCUUCGGGUUGUAAACCGCUUUCAGCAGGGACGAUUAUGACGGUACCUGCAGAAGAAGCCCCGGCUAACUACGUGCCAGCCGCCGCGGUAAAAC
RNAcentral lists this ribosomal RNA (481 nucleotides) under uncultured bacterium. RNAcentral describes it as "bacterial SSU rRNA". It matches the Rfam family "Bacterial small subunit ribosomal RNA", at positions 28 to 526 of the family's 1533-position model. The record is from RNAcentral.